GGGGAUUUGGCUCAGUGGUAGAGCACUUGCCUAGUAAGCGCAAGGCCCUGGGUUCGAUCCCCAGCUCCG
This 69-nucleotide transfer RNA is filed under the name Rattus norvegicus (Norway rat). It matches the Rfam family "tRNA". Rfam says of the family: Transfer RNA (tRNA) molecules are approximately 80 nucleotides in length. The record is from Rfam by way of RNAcentral. Lineage: Eukaryota; Metazoa; Chordata; Mammalia; Rodentia; Muridae.